RNAcentral lists this ribosomal RNA (305 nucleotides) under uncultured bacterium. RNAcentral's name for it is "partial 16S ribosomal RNA". It matches the Rfam family "Bacterial small subunit ribosomal RNA", at positions 508 to 807 of the family's 1533-position model. The record is from RNAcentral.
ACAGCAGCCGCCGCGGUAAUACGUAGGUGGCAAGCGUUGUCCGGAAUUAUUGGGCGUAAAGGGCUCGCAGGCGGUUUCUUAAGUCUGAUGUGAAAGCCCCCGGCUCAACCGGGGAGGGUCAUUGGAAACUGGGAAACUUGAGUGCAGAAGAGGAGAGUGGAAUUCCACGUGUAGCGGUGAAAUGCGUAGAGAUGUGGAGGAACACCAGUGGCGAAGGCGACUCUCUGGUCUGUAGCUGACGCUGAGGAGCGAAAGCGUGGGGAGCGAACAGGAUUAGAUACCCCCGUAGUCCCUGUCUCUUAUAC